Molecule: unclassified non-coding RNA, 85 nt
Filed under: Leptomonas sp. P
Lineage: Eukaryota; Euglenozoa; Kinetoplastea; Trypanosomatida; Trypanosomatidae
Description: spliced leader RNA
Source: RNAcentral
AACUAACGCUAUAUAAGUAUCAGUUUCUGUACUUUAUUGGUAUAAGAAACUUCCGGAACCAACCGGCGAAAUUUUGGCCAGGCGC